ACAGUUGGGCUUGGAAGGGAGCCUGAAGAACAACAUCUUGUUCCCAGCUGAGCAGUCUUCCCCCAGAGCGUGCUGCUCAGAGCCCUGUUGCCAAGGAUGGGGCAUGCACAGCCUCUGUGCACAGCCUGGGUUUUUCUGUUUGAAAGGAAGCUUGGCACAAUGUCCAUUGUCUUCUCCAUUUGUGAAACACUAAGUGGAGUGUGGGUAGGCUGAUAUGCAGAGCAAAACCUGAAAAUAUACUAGUGAUCCUGAGCCUGGGGGAUGCAGCUAAACCCAGCCAAAAGGAAUUUCUGGAAAGCUGAUCGUGGUUUACAUUGUCUUGAGUUUGGCUUUGCCAACUUCACCAGUCAGUUAUGAAAAAGCAAACAAAAAACUCAAACCAAAUCAGACAAAAACCCAAACAAAUAAAGAAACAAACAAACCCAUGCAAACUGAUCCAACAAAUAGAUAAAAAACCCCAAAUAAAACCACUGGAAAUGAAGAGUUUGUAUUAGUUGUGAGGAUAGCACAGCAGGCAAAUGGCUGCUUCCCACAGGAUCACCAUCAAAAGCCACAUAGAACAGCUGCUCCAAAAUAUACCCAACAGGAGAAAAAGAAAAAGUGAUGCAUGGCAACUUUGGGGGCAUCUCCACAUUCAGGUGAAGGAUGAGCACGCAGUGGUACAGAUCCAGCAUUGCCCACCCUCCAGGCUACUCUUUGCUCCUGAUGAAAGACCCUUGCAGGACUGUGGCUCCUCUCAGUGCAGUGUCAGUCACUGCCAGAGCUCUCAGCUGAGCCACUGGCAUUUCCAGAGUGACAUCCAGCUGCAAUCCUACUGCCUGCUGGGCAUCUGUGGAAGAUCCUGCGCAUCUUCAUGCCUAGGACUGCCGCUUCUCCGGCUGGCUGAUGACAAGAGAGGGGGCUGCAGGUUCCCCCUGGAGCUCCGUUGAAUCCCACUUGUCAAUUGUUUUGGUGCAAUAUAAAACACAGGCAGCGCACACGGGUCCCAGGGAAACUUUAUUUGAUGGUAAACUUCCCCUUUUCCUCUCCUGGGACCCCGAUCAAGGGGCAAACAAAGACUUCUGUGCAGGGGGAGGUCAGGGGUAGGCACAACUUUCAACAAAUCAGGAGAGUUGGGAGUAAAAAUCCUAGGCAGGGAUAACAGCAGUGAACCAAUAACAUUCCAAAGGAGGAAAAGCGGUUUCAAUAAGCAGCUAAAAUUUGGAGAAAUAGAAACUGGAAACUAGUUGAUGAAAUAACUGGGAAAAGGCGGAGACAAAAGGAAAACAGCACCAAGGAAAACCACCAAAUCACAAAUCAAACCAUAAACCUACUAAUAAACCAAAAAGCACAAUACAACAUCUGCUCGUUCUUAAAUACAAAAAGGACAUUAAAGUUUAUCUAAAAGAACAAAAGUUAUUAGUGUAAUAAAUCAUAAAAUUUUACAAACGUAAAAUAAAACAAAUUAUAAUUUAAAAAUUUUUCAAAAACUCAAAUAAUUUUGGAUAUGUCUAAUUUAGCUUAUACUUGUCUUGUUUUUCACUGAUUAUGCAUUUUAACUAUAAUUUUAUUCAUUUCUUCAAUUCACUGCGAAAUAAUAUCUUAAUUUUUGAAUAAUUAGCUGGUAAAAAUUGGGCUCAAAAGGUAAUUAAAAAAUUGUUUUAAAUUGUCAAACAAAAACUCUUUUAAGUGGCAAACUUAAAAAGAAUUUAACAUUUCAUAGAAAGCUUACCAUUUCAUAAAAGGAUGUUCCAUAGAAAGAUGUUUCAUAGUUUCCAGGAGUUAAAUGUGUAAAACAAACAAAUUUAUUUCAUGUUAAAUAAAUAUAAAUUUUCUUUUCAUUUUGACUCAAAACUUAUGAUUUAAAACUUGAAGGUAUGGUAUUAAAUUGAUUAAAAACCAAUUGGCUCCUGGUUACUAUUUUUUUAACAAUUUAACAUUUCUUUUAUUAAUACAACUACAAUUUAUUUCAUAACACAAAGCAAAGCAAUGAGAUGUUCUUCACAGAAAUUUGGCUGAUCUUGUCUGUUUCAAAACUUCAGUUAUCUUGUUCUUCUGUUGGGAAACUCAAGUUUGAAGGUUUUCUCUCUUCAAGGAAAUUCAGUUCAGAAAAUGGUCAUGAUCAAAUGUAGCAUAGUAGACUUCGGUGUAGUUAUAACAUUCUUUUUUCUAUAACAUGCAACUGAACAACUGGGUUAGUUUUCCAAAAUGAUUUCAAAUAUGACAAACAACUCAUUUUUUUAAAAACCAUACAAAAACAUAUGUUCAAAAUAAAACCACUUAAUUCUUCAAAACUGAAAACCUGUAUAGUAUUUGAACUUUUAUAAAUUUAAUCAAAUGAAUAAUCUUUUACUUCUGUAAAAAGCACUGUUUAAAAAUCUUUAAAAAGGUAUUUUGCAUUUUCAAAUCACAUUAAUAACUUUUCAAAUUAACAAACUAAUUAUUAUUAAAACUCAAUUGUUAUAAAACCUCUAAUUAAUUUAAAGCAAAAACUUUAAGUUCACCCUUUAAUAUCAUCACUGUGAGUAUAGCCUUUGCA
Long non-coding RNA from Passer domesticus (house sparrow), 2518 nucleotides. RefSeq lists it as uncharacterized. The transcript has 2 exons. The record is from RefSeq and is a predicted model, not a curated record. Lineage: Eukaryota; Metazoa; Chordata; Aves; Passeriformes; Passeridae.